Y RNA from Pongo abelii (Sumatran orangutan), 105 nucleotides. It matches the Rfam family "Y RNA". Rfam says of the family: Y RNAs are components of the Ro ribonucleoprotein particle (Ro RNP), in association with Ro60 and La proteins. The Y RNAs and Ro60 and La proteins are well conserved, but the function of the Ro RNP is not known. The record is from Ensembl. Lineage: Eukaryota; Metazoa; Chordata; Mammalia; Primates; Hominidae.
GGCUGGUCCAAAGGUAGUGAGUUAUCUCAACUGAUUGUUCACAGUCAGUUACAGGCCAAACCCCUUGUUCUACUCUUUCCCUUCUCAAUACUGCACUUGUUUUUA